UACGUGGGGGGCAAGCGUUAUUCGGAAUCUCUGGGCGUAAAGCGCGCGCAGGCUGCCGUUUAAGUCAGAUGUGAAAGCCCGGGGCUCAACCCCGGAAGUGCAUUUGAUACUAUUCGGCUUGAGUAUGGGAGAGGGAAGUGGAAUUCCUGGUGUAGAGGUGAAAUUCGUAGAUAUCAGGAGGAACACCGGUGGCGAAAGCGACUUCCUGGACCAAUACUGACGCUGAGGCGAGAAGGCGUGGGGAGCAAACAGG
Molecule: ribosomal RNA, 253 nt
Filed under: uncultured bacterium
Lineage: Bacteria
Description: partial 16S ribosomal RNA
Rfam family: Bacterial small subunit ribosomal RNA
Source: RNAcentral